AUACAUGCAAGUCGAGCGGACAGAAGGGAGCUUGCUCCCGGAUGUUAGCGGCGGACGGGUGAGUAACACGUGGGUAACCUGCCUGUAAGACUGGGAUAACUCCGGGAAACCGGAGCUAAUACCGGAUAGUUCCUUGAACCGCAUGGUUCAAGGAUGAAAGACGGUUUCGGCUGUCACUUACAGAUGGACCCGCGGCGCAUUAGCUAGUUGGUGAGGUAACGGCUCACCAAGGCGACGAUGCGUAGCCGACCUGAGAGGGUGAUCGGCCACACUGGGACUGAGACACGGCCCAGACUCCUACGGGAGGCAGCAGUAGGGAAUCUUCCGCAAUGGACGAAAGUCUGACGGAGCAACGCCGCGUGAGUGAUGAAGGUUUUCGGAUCGUAAAGCUCUGUUGUUAGGGAAGAACAAGUGCAAGAGUAACUGCUUGCACCUUGACGGUACCUAACCAGAAAGCCACGGCUAACUACGUGCCAGCAGCCGCGGUAAUACGUAGGUGGCAAGCGUUGUCCGGAAUUAUUGGGCGUAAAGGGCUCGCAGGCGGUUUCUUAAGUCUGAUGUGAAAGCCCCCGGCUCAACCGGGGAGGGUCAUUGGAAACUGGGAAACUUGAGUGCAGAAGAGGAGAGUGGAAUUCCACGUGUAGCGGUGAAAUGCGUAGAGAUGUGGAGGAACACCAGUGGCGAAGGCGACUCUCUGGUCUGUAACUGACGCUGAGGAGCGAAA
Molecule: ribosomal RNA, 724 nt
Filed under: Bacillus altitudinis
Lineage: Bacteria; Bacillati; Bacillota; Bacilli; Caryophanales; Bacillaceae
Description: bacterial SSU rRNA
Rfam family: Bacterial small subunit ribosomal RNA
Source: RNAcentral